RNAcentral lists this ribosomal RNA (843 nucleotides) under Paramunida aff. longior PC-2010. RNAcentral's name for it is "partial 16S ribosomal RNA". The record is from RNAcentral. Lineage: Eukaryota; Metazoa; Arthropoda; Malacostraca; Decapoda; Munididae.
UUAAACUAAGAAUAUAAGGGUAGAGUUUUAUAUUCAAAAAUUAAUAUAAGAUGAAGAUAUAAAUAAGUUUUUAUAAAUUAGACUUUUUAGUGGCCAUAUUAUUAAAGUAUUUUAACUAGUAAAAUAAAAAAAAGUUUUAUUUUUAUUCUCUUUUUUUUUAGUAGAAUAUAUUUUGUAUCAAAAAUAAAUUAGAAAUAAUGAAAAUAUUAGUAGAAAAAAAAUAUUAUUUGUAUAAAUAUAAAUUAAUAAAUAAAAUUUAAUAGAAGAGAAGAAAAAUUAAAGGAAUUCGGCAAUUUUUUUUCUUGCCUGUUUAACAAAAACAUGUCUGUAUGAAGUUAUAUAGAGUCUGGCCUGCCCAUUGAAUAAAUUUAAAAGGCCGCGGUAUAUUAACUGUGCAAAGGUAGCAUAAUCAUUAGCUUUUUAAUUGAAGGCUUGUAUGAAUGGUCGGACAAAGUAAAAGCUGUCUUUAAUUUUAUUUUUUGAAUUUAACUUUUAAGUGAAAAGGCUUAAAUGAGUUUAAGGGACGAUAAGACCCUAUAAAUCUUUAUAUUAAAUUGUUAUUUUGAAAUUUAAUGGGUUUGUUUAAAUAAACAAAAAAACAAAAAAUAUUUUGUUGGGGUGAUGAGAAUAUAAAAAUAACUGUUCUUAUUUUAUUCAAAGUUAUUUGUUUAAGAUUAGUAGAUCCUUUAUUUAAGAUUAAAAGUUUAAGUUACUUUAGGGAUAACAGCGUUAUUUUUUUUGAGAGUUCUUAUCGAAAAAAAAGUUUGCGACCUCGAUGUUGAAUUAAAAUUUCUCUACGGUGUAGAAGUUGUAGUAGAGAGUCUGUUCGACUUUUGAAAUUUU